AGUGAACGCUGGCGGUAGGCCUAACACAUGCAAGUCGAACGGCAGCACAGUAAGAGCUUGCUCUUACGGGUGGCGAGUGGCGGACGGGUGAGGAAUACAUCGGAAUCUACUUUUUCGUGGGGGAUAACGUAGGGAAACUUACGCUAAUACCGCAUACGACCUACGGGUGAAAGCAGGGGAUCUUCGGACCUUGCGCGAUUGAAUGAGCCGAUGUCGGAUUAGCUAGUUGGCGGGGUAAAGGCCCACCAAGGCGACGAUCCGUAGCUGGUCUGAGAGGAUGAUCAGCCACACUGGAACUGAGAACGGGUCCAGACUCCAACGGGGGGAAGGAGUGGGGAAUUUUGGAAAAGGGGGGAAAGCCUGAUCCAGCCAUACCGGGGGGGGGAAGAAGGCCUUCGGGUUGUAAAGCCCUUUUGUUGGGAAAAAAAAGCAGCAGGUUAAUACCCCGCUGUUCUGACGGUACCCAAAAAAUAAGCACCGGCUAACUUCGU
RNAcentral lists this ribosomal RNA (491 nucleotides) under uncultured bacterium. RNAcentral describes it as "partial 16S ribosomal RNA". It matches the Rfam family "Bacterial small subunit ribosomal RNA", at positions 29 to 506 of the family's 1533-position model. The record is from RNAcentral.